RNAcentral lists this transfer RNA (72 nucleotides) under Nemania serpens. Its description in RNAcentral is "tRNA-Thr". It matches the Rfam family "tRNA". From Rfam's summary of the family: Transfer RNA (tRNA) molecules are approximately 80 nucleotides in length. Their secondary structure includes four short double-helical elements and three loops (D, anti-codon, and T loops). Lineage: Eukaryota; Fungi; Ascomycota; Sordariomycetes; Xylariales; Xylariaceae. The record is from RNAcentral.
GCCUCUAUAGCUCACCGGUAGAGCGCCUCACUAGUAAUGAGGAGGCAACUGGUUCGACUCCAGUUAGAGGCA